Molecule: ribosomal RNA, 574 nt
Filed under: uncultured bacterium
Lineage: Bacteria
Description: bacterial SSU rRNA
Rfam family: Bacterial small subunit ribosomal RNA
Source: RNAcentral
CCUACGGGAGGCAGCAGUGAGGAAUAUUGGACAAUGGGCGCAAGCCUGAUCCAGCCAUGCCGCGUGCAGGAAGACGCAUCUAUGGUGUGUAAACUGCUUUUGUACAGGAAGAAACAUCCCGACGUGUCGGGACUUGACGGUACUGUAAGAAUAAGGAUCGGCUAACUCCGUGCCAGCAGCCGCGGUAAUACGGAGGAUCCAAGCGUUAUCCGGAAUCAUUGGGUUUAAAGGGUCCGUAGGCGGUUUGAUAAGUCAGUGGUGAAAGCCCAUCGCUCAACGAUGGAACGGCCAUUGAUACUGUCAGACUUGAAUUACUAGGAAGUAACUAGAAUAUGUAGUGUAGCGGUGAAAUGCUUAGAUAUUACAUGGAAUACCAAUUGCGAAGGCAGGUUACUACUAGUGGAUUGACGCUGAUGGACGAAAGCGUGGGGAGCGAACAGGAUUAGAUACCCUGGUAGUCCACGCCGUAAACGAUGGAUACUAGCUGUUGGGAGCAAUUUCAGUGGCUAAGCGAAAGUGAUAAGUAUCCACCUGGGGAGUACGUUCGCAGAAUGAAACUCAAAGGAAUUGACGG